Molecule: unclassified non-coding RNA, 264 nt
Filed under: Melitaea cinxia (Glanville fritillary)
Lineage: Eukaryota; Metazoa; Arthropoda; Insecta; Lepidoptera; Nymphalidae
Description: misc RNA ENSMCXG00005008800.1
Source: RNAcentral
AACAUCGCUGUUCAAGUCAGACUAUACUAUGUUUGUUUUUAAUGUCUCCAAAAGAGACGUGAGUCCACCGACCGGUUCUUAAUCUAAUCUAUGGUACAACAUUUUUUUUUUUUUUUUUUUUUUGUAUUAUUAUUAUUUCCUUAUAAUACUAUACUUAUAUCUAGCUAAAUAUUACAUUAUUUACAUGCGUAAUAAUCGUUUUCUUAGAAAUAUAUUUUUUAAUAUUGUCUAUAUUACUACCAAACUUACUCCUCCCAAGCAAAG